This 480-nucleotide long non-coding RNA is filed under the name Mytilus galloprovincialis (Mediterranean mussel). Lineage: Eukaryota; Metazoa; Mollusca; Bivalvia; Mytilida; Mytilidae. The record is from RNAcentral.
UGCAUGACGAAAUCGGACAGUGUAACUUGUAUCUUUUACAAGUUUUGAAUUUGUUAUACUCAGUCUAACACAUGUAGAUUCGGAGCACAUUUUACAGAUUACGGUUUAUCUGUUUGGAAUGAGAUGUAUCAAUCGGCAUGAGAUUUAUCAGAACCCUUCGAUAUCGUUGAAAUUAUGCCAUGGCGAUGUGUUCGACGGACUACCAGAGCCACUCAUCCUGCAACCACGCCAAAACAGUAUUGGAAAGUCUCAUUAUAUUUUGCGUUUAUAGACCAUAUGAAAAUCGAAUGCCUAUGAUAAUGGAACUGGAGAGUGGAGUCGCGUCUGGCAUUAUCAGAAACUCGCUUCUUUGUGUCGUAUCUUCUUCCUCCUGUUGUAGGAAAUAUAACAAACGAACAAAUCUCAACAUUGUCAGAGACAUACGAAACUGACCUAGUAUGUAAUUUUGACGAAUUCAAUUGGGAGGUCGCUCGAUGGCGA